AACGAACGCUGGCGGCGUGCCUAAUACAUGCAAGUCGAACGAGAAAGUGGCUUCGGUCAUGAGUAAAGUGGCAGACGGGUGAGUAAUACAUAGGUAACCUUCCCUUAAGAUGAGGACAACCUUCCGAAAGGAGGGCUAAUACUGAAUGAGACCACGAGUACUACGGUACAUGCGGUUAAAGAUGGCCUCUACUUGUACGCUAUCGCUUAAGGAUGGGCUUAUGCACCAUAGCUUGUUGGUGAGGUAACGGCUCACCAAGGCUAUGAUGGUUAACUGAUCUGAGAGGUUGAUCAGUCACACUGGAACUGAGACACGGUCCAGACUCCUACGGGAGGCAGCAGUAGGGAAUAUUGCGCAAAUGGAGGAAACUCUGACGCAGCGACGCCGCGUGGGUGAUG
RNAcentral lists this ribosomal RNA (398 nucleotides) under uncultured bacterium. Its description in RNAcentral is "bacterial SSU rRNA". It matches the Rfam family "Bacterial small subunit ribosomal RNA", at positions 29 to 410 of the family's 1533-position model. The record is from RNAcentral.